RNAcentral lists this unclassified non-coding RNA (376 nucleotides) under uncultured bacterium. Its description in RNAcentral is "contains 16S-23S intergenic spacer region". The record is from RNAcentral.
UCCGGCUUGACGCCGGCAGUCCCCCGAGAGUCCUCAGCUCUACCUGUUAGCAACACGGGGCAAGGGUUGCGCUCGUUGCGGGACUUAACCCAACAUCUCACGACACGAGCUGACGACAGCCAUGCACCACCUGUACACCUCGGACGAACCCGAUGCAUCUCUGCAUCUGAACGGUGUAUGUCAAGCCCAGGUAAGGUUCUUCGCGUUGCUUCGAAUUAAGCCACAUGCUCCGCCGCUUGUGCGGGCCCCCGUCAAUUCCUUUGAGUUUCAGCCUUGCGGCCGUACUCCCCAGGCGGGGUGCUUAACGCGUUAGCUGCGACACUGAAGGGGUCGAUCCCCCCAGCACCUAGCACCCAUCGUUUACAGCAUGGACUAC